This 253-nucleotide ribosomal RNA is filed under the name uncultured bacterium. RNAcentral's name for it is "partial 16S ribosomal RNA". It matches the Rfam family "Bacterial small subunit ribosomal RNA", at positions 524 to 776 of the family's 1533-position model. The record is from RNAcentral.
UACGGAGGGGGCUAGCGUUGUUCGGAAUUACUGGGCGUAAAGGGCGCGUAGGCGGCUCGGCACGUCCGUUGUGAAAUCGCCCGGCUCAACUGGGCGGGGUCAGCGGAUACGGCCGAGCUUGAGCAAGCUAGGGGGCAAUGGAAUUCCCGGUGUAGUGGUGGAAUGCGUAGAUAUCGGUAGGAACACCAGUGGCGAAGGCGGUUUCCUGGAGCUAACUUGACGCUGAGACGCGAAAGCUGGGGGAGCAAACGGG